Molecule: transfer RNA, 73 nt
Filed under: Cullen tenax
Lineage: Eukaryota; Viridiplantae; Streptophyta; Magnoliopsida; Fabales; Fabaceae
Description: tRNA-Glu
Source: RNAcentral
UUUAUCUUUCUUUGACUUUCUUUCAGAUUAUUUAUUAUUUUUUUAUUAUAACUGGAAUAAAAAGAAACUAUUU